RNAcentral lists this ribosomal RNA (492 nucleotides) under uncultured bacterium. Its description in RNAcentral is "partial 16S ribosomal RNA". It matches the Rfam family "Bacterial small subunit ribosomal RNA", at positions 30 to 507 of the family's 1533-position model. The record is from RNAcentral.
AGUGAACGCUGGCGGUAGGCCUAACACAUGCAAGUCGAACGGCAGCACAGUAAGAGCUUGCGCUUACGGGCGUCGAGCGGCGGACGGGGGAGGAAUACAUCGGAAUACACUCUGUCGUGGGGGAUAACGCAGGGAAACUUACGCUAAUACCGCAUACGACCUACGGGUGAAAGCAGGCGAUCUUCUGACCUUUCGCGAUGGAAUGAGCCGAUGUCGGAUGAGAUAGUUGGCGGGGUAAAGGCGAAACACGGCGACGAUCCGUAGCUGGUCUGAGAGGAUGAUCCGCCAGACGGGAAGUGAGAAACGUUCGAGACUCCGACGGGGAGCAACAGUCGAGAAUAUUGGGCAAGGGGGGAGAGGCUGAUCUAGGACUACCGGGUAGGUGAAGAAGGCCUUCGGGUUGUAAAGCGCUGUUGUUGGGAGAGAAGAGCAGCAGGUUAAUACCGGGCGGUACUGACGGUACCCGAAGAAUAAGCACCGGCUAACUUCGUG